RNAcentral lists this ribosomal RNA (460 nucleotides) under uncultured bacterium. Its description in RNAcentral is "partial 16S ribosomal RNA". It matches the Rfam family "Bacterial small subunit ribosomal RNA", at positions 338 to 795 of the family's 1533-position model. The record is from RNAcentral.
CCUACGGGAGGCAGCAGUGAGGAAUAUUGGUCAAUGGACGCAAGUCUGAACCAGCCAUGCCGCGUGCAGGAAGACGGCUCUAUGAGUUGUAAACUGCUUUUGUACGGGGGUAAACUCAGAUACGCGUAUCUUUCUGCAAGUAUCGUACGAAUAAGGAUCGGCUAACUCCGUGCCAGCAGCCGCGGUAAUACGGAGGAUUCAAGCGUUAUCCGGAUUUAUUGGGUUUAAAGGGUGCGUAGGCGGUCGGAUAAGUUAGAUGUGAAAGCCCGAGGCUCAACUUCGGAAUUGCCUCUGAUACUGUCAGGCUAGAGAGUAGUUGCGGUAGGCGGAAUGUAUGGUGUAGCGGUGAAAUGCUUAGAGAUCAUACAGAACACCGAUUGCGAAGGCAGCUUACCAAGCUACGUCUGACGUUGAGGCACGAAAGCGUGGGGAGCAAACAGGAUUAGAUACCCCUGUAGUC